RNAcentral lists this ribosomal RNA (614 nucleotides) under Orphnebius sp. 4 HE-2012. RNAcentral describes it as "partial 16S ribosomal RNA". The stretch from base 372 to 530 matches the Rfam family "Bacterial large subunit ribosomal RNA", at positions 2473 to 2632 of the family's 2925-position model. Lineage: Eukaryota; Metazoa; Arthropoda; Insecta; Coleoptera; Staphylinidae. The record is from RNAcentral.
GUCUUUUUGUAUUUUAUUUAAAGUUUAACCUGCCCAAUGAUUUUAAAUGGCUGCAGUAUUUUGACUGUACAAAGGUAGCAUAAUCAUUAGUUUUUUAAUUAAGAACUAGAAUGAAAGGUUGGACAAAAAAUUGGUUGUUUCUAAUUAAUUAUUUAAAAUUUUAUUUUUAAGUUAAAAAGCUUAAAUGAUUUUAAAAGACGAGAAGACCCUAUAGAGUUUAAUUAUUUAAAAUUUAAAUUUAUUAUAAAAAAAAAUUAGAUAUAAUUUAGUUGGGGUGAUUUAAAAAUUUAAGUGACUUUUUGUUAAUUUAUAACAUUAAUUUAUGAAUAAUUGAUCCAUUUAAAAUGAUUAAAAGAAUAAAUUACCUUAGGGAUAACAGCGUUAUUUCUUUUUAGAGUCCAAAUCAAUAAAGAAGAUUGCGACCUCGAUGUUGGAUUAAAAUAUAUUUUUGGUGUAGAAGCUAAGAAAUUAAGUCUGUUCGACUUUUUAAAUUUUACAUGAUCUGAGUUUAAACCGGUGUGAGCCAGGUUGGUUUCUAUCUUUAAUUAUAAAGAAUAUAAUUUAGUACGAAAGGACCAAUUAUUAUAAAUAAUUUAUUUAAAUAGAAUAUUAUU